This is a long non-coding RNA of Neofelis nebulosa (Clouded leopard), 651 nucleotides long. RefSeq lists it as uncharacterized. The transcript is spliced from 3 exons. Lineage: Eukaryota; Metazoa; Chordata; Mammalia; Carnivora; Felidae. The record is from RefSeq and is a predicted model, not a curated record.
AGAACUAGAACAAGUAAAUAGAAUUAUGUCGAUUACAGUCAUGGAAUUUUAGUGUUCUAUGAAGUCAACAAAGUCAGAAAUUAUGAGCAUGUUCUUUGCUCCUAAGAGUAUGAUCAAAAUCAUUUGUGCACCUCAGAUUUGCCUCCCUCUUGGAUCACUCAUUCUCAGGGAAAUCAGCCACCAUUUUCUGAGCUGCUUUACAGAGAAGCCCAGGAGGUAAAGAGCUGGGGGGACCCCAGUCCAGCAGCCAGCAAGGAAAUGAAGCCUGCCAACAACCAGGCAAGUGAGCUGUGAAGUGGAUUCUCUGGUCCUAAUAGAGCCUUCAGAUGAGAGUGGGCCAAGCCAACUGUACUCUUGUGAGAGACGCUGAGCAAGAACCACCCAGAUGCCCACUCCCAGACUCCAAGCCCUCAGAAUCUGUGAGAUAAUUAAUGUUGUUUUAACCUGCCACCUUGAGGAAAACGAAUAUAGACACAAAGAGCACAGAGUGUGGGGACAUAACGUGUUGCUUUAUCUCUCAGAACUUUAUCUUCCCAUUCUUAAAACCAGGUCUUACUUAACUAUAUUUUAGAGAGAAGUGCAAAAUAUAGAAAAAUAAUGUUUAACUCUAUCAAGUACGUAGUACUAUACCAAACGUAUAGGGUCAUAUAG